UGCCAAUGUUGUUUCCCAAUAAAAUGCAACUUUUUUAGCCUCUUCUUUUAUAUCAGGAUUAAUCUGGGGUGAGACCAUCCUUAACUGCUCCAGCAAUAAGAUACAACUCUUUUUUGAAACUCGUAACUUGAUGUCCUUAUUUCCCUUCAAGUUGAAAGGAUGGGAAGCAUUAAUUACAUCCAAAACAAGCCUUCCCGGAUCACAUGCAAGUCGAAGAGCAGCAGCAAUCUUACUAUGUUCUAAAUCAUUAUCCUCAUGUUUUUUAAGUAACAGUUUCAAAUCCUCCUUACUC
RNAcentral lists this unclassified non-coding RNA (292 nucleotides) under Hevea brasiliensis (rubber tree). Lineage: Eukaryota; Viridiplantae; Streptophyta; Magnoliopsida; Malpighiales; Euphorbiaceae. The record is from RNAcentral.